This 82-nucleotide transfer RNA is filed under the name Eimeria ferrisi. Its description in RNAcentral is "tRNA-Ser". It matches the Rfam family "tRNA". Rfam says of the family: Transfer RNA (tRNA) molecules are approximately 80 nucleotides in length. Their secondary structure includes four short double-helical elements and three loops (D, anti-codon, and T loops). Further hydrogen bonds mediate the characteristic L-shaped molecular structure. tRNAs have two regions of fundamental functional importance: the anti-codon, which is responsible for specific mRNA codon recognition, and the 3' end, to which the tRNAs corresponding amino acid is attached (by aminoacyl-tRNA synthetases). tRNAs cope with the degeneracy of the genetic code in two manners: having more than one tRNA (with a specific anti-codon) for a particular amino acid; and 'wobble' base-pairing, i.e. permitting non-standard base-pairing at the 3rd anti-codon position. Lineage: Eukaryota; Apicomplexa; Conoidasida; Eucoccidiorida; Eimeriidae. The record is from RNAcentral.
AGAGAUGACUGAGUGGUUUAAAGUAUCAAAUUGCUAAUUUGACAUAUUAUAUAUAUCAAGGGUUCAAAUCCCUUUCUCUCUU